Molecule: unclassified non-coding RNA, 483 nt
Filed under: Candida albicans
Lineage: Eukaryota; Fungi; Ascomycota; Pichiomycetes; Serinales; Debaryomycetaceae
Description: sequence contains 18S rRNA gene, ITS1, 5.8S rRNA gene, ITS2, 28S rRNA gene
Rfam family: 5.8S ribosomal RNA (bases 156-309)
Source: RNAcentral
UGCGGAAGGAUCAUUACUGAUUUGCUUAAUUGCACCACAUGUGUUUUUCUUUGAAACAAACUUGCUUUGGCGGUGGGCCCAGCCUGCCGCCAGAGGUCUAAACUUACAACCAAUUUUUUAUCAACUUGUCACACCAGAUUAUUACUAAUAGUCAAAACUUUCAACAACGGAUCUCUUGGUUCUCGCAUCGAUGAAGAACGCAGCGAAAUGCGAUACGUAAUAUGAAUUGCAGAUAUUCGUGAAUCAUCGAAUCUUUGAACGCACAUUGCGCCCUCUGGUAUUCCGGAGGGCAUGCCUGUUUGAGCGUCGUUUCUCCCUCAAACCGCUGGGUUUGGUGUUGAGCAAUACGACUUGGGUUUGCUUGAAAGACGGUAGUGGUAAGGCGGGAUCGCUUUGACAAUGGCUUAGGUCUAACCAAAAACAUUGCUUGCGGCGGUAACGUCCACCACGUAUAUCUUCAAACUUUGACCUCAAAUCAGGUAG